CUGUGGGAUCCGGGCUACUGCCGCAGUGGGCUGUCAGUUGUUGGUGUGCUCCAGAAUGCUUCAGUUCUGCUCUGCAAGGAUCUAUAAUAACUGAUUGGUGUGCCCAUUUAAUAAAAGAAUAUGGAAACUGAACAGCCAGAAGAAACCUUCCCUAACACUAAAACCAAUGGUGAAUUUGGUAAACGACCUGCAGAAGAUAUGGAAGAGGAACAAGCAUUUAAAAGAUCUAGAAACACUGAUGAGAUGGUUGAAUUACACAUUCUGCUUCAGAGCAAGAAUGCUGGGGCAGUGAUUGGAAAAGGAGGCAAGAAUAUUAAGGCUCUCCAUACAGAAUACAGUGCCAAUGUUUCAGUCCCAGACAGCAGUGGCCCCAAGCGCAUAUUGAGUAUCAGUGCUGAUAUUGAAACAAUUGGAGAAAUUCUGAAGAAAAUCAUCCUUACCUUGGAAGAGGGCUUGCAGUUGCCAUCACCCAUUGCAACCAGCCAGCUCCUGCUAGAAUCUGAUGCUGUGGAAUGCUUAAAUUACCAGUACUAUAAAGGAAGUGACUUUCCAAGUUGAGGCUGUUGAUUCAUCAGAGUCUAGCAGGAGAAAUUAUUGGGGUCAAAGGUGCUAAAAUCAAAGAAGUUCGAGAAAACACUCAAACCACCAUCAAGCUUUUCCAGGAAUGCUGUCCUUAUUCCACUGACAGAGUUGUUCUUAUUGGAGGAAAAUCCAAUAGGGUUGUAGAGUGCAUAAAGAUCAUCCUUGAUCUUAUAUCUGAGUCUCCCAUCAAAGGACGUGCACAGCCUUAUGGUCCCAAUUUUUACGAUGAAACCUAUGAUUAUGGUGAUUUUACAAUGAUGUUUGAUGACCGCCGUGGACGCCCAGUGGGAUUUCCCAUGGGGGGAAGAGGUGGUUUUGACAGAAUGCCUCCUGGUGGGGGUGGGCGUCUGAUGCCUCCAUCUAGAAGAGAUUAUGAUGAUAUGAGCCCUCAUCGAGGACCACCUCCCCCUCCUCCUGGACUAGGCGGCUGGGGUGGUAGCAGAGCUCGGAAUUUUCUUCUUCCUCCACCACCACCACCUAGAGGGGGAGACCUCAUGGCCUGACAGAAGAGGGAGACCUGGAGACCGUCAAGUCGGCAUGAUUGGUUUCAGUGCUGAUGAAACUUGGGACUCUGCAAUAGAUACAUGGAGCCCAUCGGAAUGGCAGAUGGCUUAUGAACCACAGGGUGGCUCUGGAUAUGAGUAUUCCUGUGCAGGCGGUCGUGGCUCCUAUGGUGAUCUUGGUGGACCUGUUAUUACUACACAAGUAACUAUUCCCAAAGAUUUGGCUGGAUUUAUUAUUGGCAAAGGUGGUCAGCAGAUUAAACAAAUCCAUCUUGAGUCCGGAGCUUCAAUCAAAAUUGAUGAGCCUUUAGAAGGAUCCGAAGAUCGGAUCAUUACCAUUACGGGAACACAGGACCAGAUACAGAAUUCACAGUAUUUGCUGCAGAACAGUGUGAAGCAAUAUGCAGAUGUUGAAGGAUUCUAAUGCAAGGUAUUUUUUUCUUUUUUAUAGUAUGAAGCAGUAUUCUGGAAAGUUUUUCUAAGACUAAUGAAGAACUGAAGGAGUCCUGCAUCUUUUUUUUUUUAAUCUGCUUCUGUUUAAAAAGCCAACAUUCCUCUGCUUCAUAGGUGUUCUGCAUUUGAGGUGUAGUGAAAUCUUUGCUGUUCACCAGAUGUAAUGUUUUAGCU
Rhinopithecus roxellana (golden snub-nosed monkey) is the source of this 1712-nucleotide RNA transcript. It is a transcript of the gene named heterogeneous nuclear ribonucleoprotein K pseudogene, with no coding region annotated. The transcript has a single exon. The record is from RefSeq and is a predicted model, not a curated record. NCBI's taxonomy places the organism in Eukaryota, Metazoa, Chordata, Mammalia, Primates, Cercopithecidae.